CCUACGGGGGGCAGCAGUAGGGAAUAUUGGACAAUGGAGGAAACUCUGAUCCAGCCAUCCCGCGUGAAGGAUUAAGGUCCUAUGGAUUGUAAACUUCUUUUCUUUGGGAAUAAAAUCUCCGAUUCCUCGGAGCUUGAAGGUACCAGGGGAAUAAGCACCGGCUAACUCCGUGCCAGCAGCCGCGGUACUACGGAGGGUGCAGGCGUUAUCCGGAUUCACUGGGUUUAAGGUGGUCGUGGAUGGCAGUGUAGAAAGCCUACAGCGUAACUGUAGAAUUGCCAUUGAGACUGCUUAACUUGAAUCAAGUCGAAGUGGAUGGAAUAGAUCAUGUAGCGGUGAAAUGCUUAGAUAUGAUUUAGAACACCAAUUGCGAAGGCAGUUCACUAGGCUUGUAUUGACACUGAGGCACGAAAGCGUGGGGAUCAAACAGGAUUAGAUACCCGAGUAGUC
This 450-nucleotide ribosomal RNA is filed under the name uncultured bacterium. RNAcentral's name for it is "partial 16S ribosomal RNA". It matches the Rfam family "Bacterial small subunit ribosomal RNA", at positions 338 to 795 of the family's 1533-position model. The record is from RNAcentral.